Molecule: long non-coding RNA, 4293 nt
Filed under: Olea europaea (common olive)
Lineage: Eukaryota; Viridiplantae; Streptophyta; Magnoliopsida; Lamiales; Oleaceae
Description: long non-coding RNA (OEUR_LNC007079)
Source: RNAcentral
UUAAACUUGUCGUCUCCAAUCUCGUAUUUUUUUCCCACCCCAUUAAAAAAAAGUAUUUGAGUACCUUGUUCUGAAUCAUUUGUGGUAACAUAAACAAGAUCUGAGAGAAUAUGGCUUCUGACUGGCUUGAGUUUGUAAUUCAGAUGGCCUAUUUCAGUUGAUAGGAAUGUUAUAAGUAUGCACUAAUAUUUGCUCAUCAUAUUCUGUCAAGGCUUUUGAUGAGGCAAUUGCGGAGUUGGACACCCUUGGAGAAGAGUCAUACAAGGAUAGCACUCUGAUUAUGCAGCUUCUACGUGACAACCUUACUUUGUGGACUUCAGACAUGCAGGUAACAUUUUUCUAUCUCUAUUUUGUGGAGAGGUUUCCCCAACUACUGCUGUUGUUUAAAGGAAUUACUUGAUGAUAAUGAUUAUUGUUCUUGUGUAUAGGAUGAUGGUUCUGAGGAGAUCAAGGAAGCACCAAAGCAAGAUUAAUAGUAAAAUUUUAUGAUUUACGAUUUGAGUGUUUUGCUAUGUGGUCUGUUUUUUUCAAAUUGAAAAUGCUACUUGUAGCCAGUAAUCUCUAUAAUCUACUUAUUUGCCUAUCUGAAAUUUUAGAAGUUUCUUAUCUCUAUCACUUGUUAUUUACCUUAUUUAUUUUAUUCUCAAAAGAUAACUGUUAAUCUUUGUGCCAACCAUUGUUUGUUCAUAAUUCAUAUUUCUUCUCUGGGGAAACAGCCUCUUUAUAAUUUUGCUUAGAUCUCCUUCUACAUAGUAUUAAUUCAUACAACCUUAAUGUAAAAUUCUUCACUAAUAUGCUUAAUUCUGAGAUCAUCACUAAUCUUUAUCAUACUUUGUGAUUCACUUUUAUGAGCUAAUUUAGGGUCCGUUUGGCAUGAUUUUUAAAAAAUCAAAAGGAGCUUUUGAGUCCAAAAGCUUGUUUGACUAAUUUUAUAAAAAUAUUUUUUAUUUUUUAGUUACGAGAGUUCUAGAGAAAAUUGGUCAAAUGCGGUUAACUAUAAAAGUUUUUCUACUAGAAGCAAAAAUUAUAUUAAAUGGAUCCUUAGUUAUUGGUAUUGGUUUAGCAAAUUAUCCUUAUCUACGUUCUAGAAGGCCAGAAUAUGAUAGAGGAGUAGAAAAUAAGUUGAUGUGUCCCAUUGUACAAUUAGCAUCAAUUUGGACGUGCGACACUAAGGCCACUUGUUCGGCUAAGCUUAAAAGUUAGUUUUCCUCCGUUUUUUAAUUGUUAUGUCAACACUGUACUUUUUAAAUUGUGCAAACUGUAAUGGAAGUCAGUAAAAGGCUAAUUGUUGUACUUAUAAACUUUUUUUGGCUUCAUUUUCAUCUUCAAUCUUUUAUUAGUAAAAGUACGUUUUGUCUCUCAUGGUGAAUUCCAUCCAAAUGAUACGUUAGGACGUUGCUCCUUAUAUUUUUAAAUAAGCAAAAUUAAUAAUAAAAACAAAUGUUCGUAAAAAAAAUUUGUACCCUCAUUUUAAAGUACGAUAAAAUAAUAAUUGGACAAAAAUGGUCAUCAAUAGCACUAUUUGCUAUUAAUUAUAAUAUAAAUAUAAUAAUGAGACGAAAAAAGUUGGUGUAAUCGUGUGGUAAUGAGAGAAGGUUGAGCUUUUUAUUGCAAUUGAAAUGUGGUUUACAUAAAACAAAAAGUGUAAUUUGAAUGUGAUUAUCCUUUUUUAUUUUAGGAAGUAAAUUUUGUUAGUGAAAAAAUUAAGUUUUAAAAUCAUUUAUGGCGGAGAAAAACAUAAAAGUAACUUUUAUAAAUUUUUAAUGGGUGCCACACCAAUAAUUUAAUUCAUUUGAUCUGUAAAUUUAUAAAUAAAAGUAACUUUCAUAAAAGAUUAUCAUUGAUUGGUACGGAUGGAGAUCAUAUCUAUUAAUUUAUAAAUAAACAUAAGCGAGUUAUAAAUAAAUGAAUAAUAUUUGUGAAUAUAUAAAAAGGUGUAACUAUAGAGCAAUUUUACUUGGUGGUGGGCCACACCUUUUUUGACCACCGUUUGAAAUUUGGGUGGAAAGUGGGACAGGGUGUGCUUUAGAGUCGUUGAUGAUGAAUAAAAGUUGGCACCUUUGUGCCUUUCUUGAAGCUUUACAGUUGUAUAUGUUUUUUCUGUAUUGACUAUUGAGUACUUAAAGCUUAUCAAAUAACUGCUCCAUUCCUGACUUGAUAGAUUGUUCAUUGCUACCAAGGCUGUCGAUAUCUCAUUUGUACUUGAGUUGAUCGGGUCAAAUCGACCCAUACUUUUAACGAUUAUUCUUGGUUGACAUGUAAAAUAUUCACAGAAGUCCUAAAGAAAGGACACAACAAGUGAGUAGAUGGUUUUCUUUUGGUAAUAAAAUAUUUACGAAUAAAGCACUCUGCACAGAUCCCUUUGUACAGAGCUUCUACAAGGACUCUCACAUGGGGGUGGACUCCACAUUCCACUUUAUGUGUGUGUACCUAUACAGACCUUGCGCAAAAGAGUCUGUGCAAGUAGCGCAACUGGAUAUUUACAUAGGGUCCACCCUCCAUGUUAGAGCCCUGUAAACAUUCUAUGACUUCUCCAUGUGUACACAUGGAAUAAUUUUAGUUUUAAAGUUGAAAGAGUUGGAUUAAAGAUCCCAUGCCCAUAACUUCGCUAAAACAUAUGAUCACAAAAUGGAUAGAAAUUUCUGGGUGACAAGCAGGCUUUUUACCAUCCGAGAGUAAGGCGAAGUAAUAAGAAAACAAUUUAGAGGAAUAAACGAAUAUCUGAAUACGUACACUGACCAUCAUAGGUUAUUUCAAUGCCAUAAUUGGAUCUCAAUUUUAAACAAAUUGUACCAAAUAUAACGCUUGUUUGGGUGCGCUUGUUUUCAGAAAUUAUUGAUUUCUCACUGUUCAUUGGGUUUAGGUGGAGACCUAAAAAUCUUGCAUGACCUUUCAUAAUUCAAGGUGUUUUUGCCUAAAAAAUAAAUGAAAUAUUGUCCUGUGAAGUUGAUUCACGCAAGGUGACAAUUGUUGUCGACUUCUGAGGUUUGGAAUCAAUUUGAAAUCUGAAAAUUGUAAGCUUGACAACUAAAACAUGGAGAUGUAGUGGUCUAUUUAACUCCAACCGUCAAGUUACUGUGUAUACAUGAAUUAUUUGGUCUAGUUACGGUUGAUUUAGAAAAUUCCAAUCACUGAAUGAGUUAUUGCUUUGUAUUUAUAGUGGAAAUGAGUAGUAAUUGCUUUGUUGGAACACACGGGUCGAGGGUCGUCCAUGUGAGAUAAGUAAAUAUUGACCGCUAUAGUCAGUGAUUUAUGAUUUUUUUUCUUUUUUUUUUUCUUUUUCUUUUUUCUUUUUGGCUCAUUAAAACAGGAACCACGCAUACUUCCUCUCCGUUUUAUUUUGGUCUAUUAGUAGAUGAAGUGGUGGAAUUGUUCUAUCUGGUUAAUACUGGGCGAUCUGAAGGCGAUCAAUUUGACGAUUGUUGCAAAUAUGUUUAUCGUACAAAUUAAUGGGGAUAAGAUUUUUGGGUUUGUGCUAUUGCUUAUUUGUAACUUGGUAAAUAUAUUUAUAUAUGCAUUAGUAUGUUUUGCAGCAAAUGCGAAUCAGCAGAGGAUUUUCCUUUUUUAAUUUUAAUAUAUAUUUUUUUUUAUGAUCUAAUCAUUCUUUUAAAUCAGUCAUAAUCGUACUGUGAACCAAAUAACUUGAUGCUUAUGAUUCAGAUCAUAAAAUUUUACGCGUUGAAUUGUAUAUUUGUCACUGAGUGCAAUUUUGGAUUUUGAAUUUGUAGGAGAUUGCAAAUACAGAACUUGCCCCAACACAUCCAAUCAGGCUUGGACUUGCUCUCAACUUCUCAGUAUUCUACUACGAGAUACUGAAUUCUCCUGAUAGGGCUUGUAAUCUUGCUAAACAGGUCUGCUAAAAAAUUAAACUUGUCGUCUCCAAUCUCGUAUUUUUUUCCCACCCCAUUAAAAAAAAGUAUUUGAGUACCUUGUUCUGAAUCAUUUGUGGUAACAUAAACAAGAUCUGAGAGAAUAUGGCUUCUGACUGGCUUGAGUUUGUAAUUCAGAUGGCCUAUUUCAGUUGAUAGGAAUGUUAUAAGUAUGCACUAAUAUUUGCUCAUCAUAUUCUGUCAAGGCUUUUGAUGAGGCAAUUGCGGAGUUGGACACCCUUGGAGAAGAGUCAUACAAGGAUAGCACUCUGAUUAUGCAGCUUCUACGUGACAACCUUACUUUGUGGACUUCAGACAUGCAGGUAACAUUUUUCUAUCUCUAUUUUGUAGAGAGGUUUCCCCAACUACUGCUGUUGUUUAAAGGAAUUACUUGAUGAUAAUGAUUAUUGUUCUUGUGUAUAGG